Molecule: small RNA, 29 nt
Filed under: Bombyx mori (domestic silkworm)
Lineage: Eukaryota; Metazoa; Arthropoda; Insecta; Lepidoptera; Bombycidae
Description: ovarian small RNA-14353
Source: RNAcentral
CGCCAUUGACAUUGAUGCCCAGCUUACUC